CCCCGGAGGACAGGAACCGCAGCCUCACCGACAUGGCCGUCACCUAGAUGGGGAGAGGACAGGAGAGUCAGCCUCGCACCGCCAUCUGAUAAAGAAAUUAAGACUCGGAGAGAAGAAGAAAGGACUCAACCAAGGUCCCACAGGUAACCUCCUAUUUAGAACACUGUCUUCUGUAUGAUAAAAAGUGUUUUUUAACAAAUAAUAGCAUAUUUAAAUGAAGAGUAAUGGAUUUGAAGGACACUUGGCUUUAGUAGAGCAGGUAGGAACCCAGCUUCUUGGCGGUCCACAUUUCUGGCCCCCCCCCGCCCCCUCCCCGUGGAAAUAGGACCGGGGCCGGGGGGGGGGGAGGGGGGAUGGGAAACCCAGGUGUGUCUCUGCAGGUGGCCUGAUGGAGAGCCAGAUGUGUGGACAGCGCUGGUUUCUAGUGGAAGGGAAGAGCAGGCAGCUCCUCAGGGAGCCCUAACUGUCACCAGAGUUUGUUGUCGCAGGGCUGCAAGGCAAACGGAAACUCUCUGAUGGUUCAAGACCAGGCGUGGGAGUCAGGCUCCGGGAUCCAAGAGGCUCCCUUCCCUCAGUUUACCACACAGCCUAUAGCCCCCUGUGACCUUCCUGCCCAGGGCAGUACUGCGAGGUGUCCAUGACCUGCUCCAGCUGAAGCCUAGAGUCUCAAAGGGACCAGUCAUGGUGGUGGUGGGGACGGUGGGGGAGGGGGGGAGCAGGUGCAUCAUCUCCCCAGUCUUCACAGCACACCUGUGACCCUUUGACAGAUGAGAACCCCAGGUGAGGCCGCAAAGGGCCAAGUGGGAGGGAAGGUUCAGUAGCCCAAAUGGCUCAGCCACACGGAGGAAAUUUUUGUGGCCCCGAGAGGUGGGAAUAUGGUUUUGAGGAAUAAUGACAUGGGAAGAUAAAACGUGUUCAAAGUACGAUGUGGAGUAAGAAGGCGGAGAGGCAAGCUGUACACGACCUGGCCUCAGUCUUGUUUUUGAGACGAUACCUUACCGAUGUUCUGCAGAGGACAUGCACUCCCUCAUAGUUAGGGAAAAAAAUGUUAAUUUGAAGAAAACGGAACACAUGGUUGCCAUGUCUUUGGUUGCAUAGUAAUUAAGCAGGGCUGACUGCCUGUCCUCUGACCCAGAGAAUGUUGCUUUUCAGGAUGAACCUGGGGUCAAAGGAGAAACUUUCCUCUUAAAAAAAAUACAAGAAGGAAAGAAAGAAAACCUUUUUUUUUUUGAAGGCCCACAAAUAUUAUCUACACUCCCAGGCAACUCAGCUGGGCUUUUAGGAGGUAAAGAUAACUCAUGAAUUUCUGUGAAAUAUCCAGAGGGUGUUUGGAUUUAAAUGGCCCCUUCUCUGAUCUGAUCGCCACCAACAGGCUCCCAUCACGCUCCAUCACCUGGUGUGCCCGGGACCCCUGAGAAAGACGGCGGCUCUUUGGGGAAGGGGCCUCUUGGGGCCGCCGUGGGGGUAAGAGUGUGCAUGCACCUGGGGCCCAUGGCUGGGAAAGAAAGGGCCUGGAGGCAAGAGAACAGAGAUGGGGGCACGGGAGCUGAUCCUCUGGGAAGCACGGGACAGGCAGCUGAAGCCCCUUUCUCAUGCAGCCUCCACACUGGUCUGUGGCUGUAGGACCAGCUCUAGAAAACAGGGUGGCCGAGGGGUGCCUGGGGGGCUCAGUCGGUUAAGCAUCUGCCUUCA
Molecule: long non-coding RNA, 1692 nt
Organism: Mustela erminea (ermine)
Lineage: Eukaryota; Metazoa; Chordata; Mammalia; Carnivora; Mustelidae
Exons: 3
Source: RefSeq, a predicted model, not a curated record